UACGUAUGGUGCAAGCGUUGUCCGGAUUUAUUGGGCGUAAAGCGAGUGCAGGCGGUUCAAUAAGUCUGAUGUGAAAGCCUUCGGCUCAACCGGAGAAUUGCAUCAGAAACUGUUGAACUUGAGUGCAGAAGAGGAGAGUGGAACUCCAUGUGUAGCGGUGGAAUGCGUAGAUAUAUGGAAGAACACCAGUGGCGAAGGCGGCUCUCUGGUCUGCAACUGACGCUGAGGCUCGAAAGCAUGGGUAGCGAACAGG
This 253-nucleotide ribosomal RNA is filed under the name uncultured bacterium. RNAcentral's name for it is "partial 16S ribosomal RNA". It matches the Rfam family "Bacterial small subunit ribosomal RNA", at positions 524 to 776 of the family's 1533-position model. The record is from RNAcentral.